UUUGCUACAGCCACAGCAGGAAACAGAGUCAUGCCUAAGACGCUUUCUUCCCUUCAGUGAGACUAAUGGCUCCCUCCAACCCCUCCAGACCUGGUUUUAUUUGUGACUUUCAUCUGAACUGACCUCUUAAACACAAGGAGCAAAUGUUAUCUCUGAUCUAUUCAGUUAAAAUGUAACUUGCACUCUAUUGCCUCUUCUCUUCAACUGUGCUCGAAUACUCCUCUCGUGCUUCUGUCUUUGACGGGGCGACACUGCUAUCCUGGAGCAGCCCUGACAUCUCUUUUCUCCCUCCACCCUGGCC
This 301-nucleotide long non-coding RNA is filed under the name Callithrix jacchus (white-tufted-ear marmoset). RNAcentral's name for it is "lncRNA (ENSCJAG00000078667.1)". Lineage: Eukaryota; Metazoa; Chordata; Mammalia; Primates; Cebidae. The record is from RNAcentral.